GACGAACCGUGCGAACGUUGUUCGGAAUCACUGGGCUUAAAGGGCGCGUAGGCGGCAUAUCAAGUCCGGGGUGAAAGCUUUCGGCUCAACCGGAAAAGUGCCUUGGAUACUGGUAUGCUCGAGGGAGGUAGGGGCGGCCGGAACUUCCGGUGGAGCGGUGAAAUGCGUAGAUAUCGGAAGGAACGCCGGUGGCGAAAGCGGGCCGCUGGACCUCUACUGACGCUGAGGCGCGAAAGCCAGGGGAGCGAACGGG
Molecule: ribosomal RNA, 253 nt
Filed under: uncultured bacterium
Lineage: Bacteria
Description: partial 16S ribosomal RNA
Rfam family: Bacterial small subunit ribosomal RNA
Source: RNAcentral